AAACCAGCACCUCAAGUGGUCAGGAGGAUUAUUGGGCCUAAAGCAUCCGUAGCCUGUUCUGUAAGUUUUCAGUUAAAUCCAUUAGCUCAACUAAUGGGCUGCCGAAAAUACUGUAGAACUAGGGAGUGGGAGAGGUAGACGGUAUUCGGUAGGAAGGGGUAAAAUCCUUUGAUCUAUUGAGGACCACCUGUGGCGAAGGCGGUCUACCAGAACACGUUCGACGGUGAGGGAUGAAAGCUGGGGGAGCAAACCGGAUUAGAAACCCCGGUAGUCC
Molecule: ribosomal RNA, 274 nt
Filed under: uncultured bacterium
Lineage: Bacteria
Description: partial 16S ribosomal RNA
Rfam family: Archaeal small subunit ribosomal RNA
Source: RNAcentral